This 268-nucleotide ribosomal RNA is filed under the name uncultured prokaryote. RNAcentral describes it as "partial 16S ribosomal RNA". It matches the Rfam family "Bacterial small subunit ribosomal RNA", at positions 524 to 792 of the family's 1533-position model. The record is from RNAcentral.
UACGUAGGGGCAAGCGUUAUCCGGAUUUACUGGGUGUAAAGGGAGCGUAGACGGAAGAUCAAGUCAGGUGUGAAAGGCAUGGGCUCAACCCGUGGACUGCACUUGAAACUGGUCAUCUCGAGUGUCGGAGGGGCAGGCGGAAUUCCUGGUGUAGCGGUGAAAUGCGUAGAUAUCAGGAAGAACACCGGUGGCGAAGGCGGCCUGCUGGACGAUUACUGACGUUGAGGCUCGAAGGCGUGGGGAGCAAACAGGAUUAGAUACCCUGGUA